RNAcentral lists this ribosomal RNA (470 nucleotides) under Clostridioides difficile DA00141. Its description in RNAcentral is "partial 23S ribosomal RNA". The stretch from base 1 to 121 matches the Rfam family "Bacterial small subunit ribosomal RNA", at positions 1413 to 1533 of the family's 1533-position model. The record is from RNAcentral. Lineage: Bacteria; Bacillati; Bacillota; Clostridia; Peptostreptococcales; Peptostreptococcaceae.
GGAGACGCCCGAAGCCGAUUAUCUAGCCUUUUGGAAGAAGUCGUCGAAGGUGGAAUCAAUAACUGGGGUGAAGUCGUAACAAGGUAGCCGUAUCGGAAGAUGCGGCUGGAUCACCUCCUUUCUAAGGAGAAUUGCCUACUGUUUAAUUUUGAGGGUUCGUUUUUACGAAUACUCAAAAUUAGCACUUUAAGCAACGGGAUUUAUCCGUUGGCGCCGUGCUUUAGCACUUUUAGCAACAGAAUAAACUGAACGCAUGUGAAGUUUGUUUGUUGGCGCUGUGCGUUAGCACUUUAAGCAACGGAAUUUAUUCGUUGGCGACGUGCGUUAGCACUUUGAAAACUGCAUAUAUAUUUAGUGAUAUGACAUCUAAUUUGUAAUAUAUAAAGUUGAUAACUUUUUAAAAUUAUCGAAGUUGAUAGCUUCUAAUCUAUCAAACCUUUUUAACUGGUCAAGUUAUUAAGGGUGCAGGG